Molecule: unclassified non-coding RNA, 240 nt
Filed under: soil metagenome
Description: partial contains 5.8S ribosomal RNA, internal transcribed spacer 2, and large subunit ribosomal RNA
Source: RNAcentral
AACCAUAGAAACCUGCGGAGUACCUGCGGAAGGAUCAUUAAAAUAUAUUAUGGUUUUUUUUUAAAACCAUUUUCCUUGUGAUUUCCGUAAACGUUCACUUUGGCAGGUUUUGGGCUGACUAGCUCAACUUUCAGAUCUCAUUCACGAGGUUACGAAAGAGGCCUGCCAGAGGUUUUUUCAAAUCACUUGUUUAAAUUAUCGUCUGAAAAAUUCUCUCGUUCGAGAGAAAUAAAUACAAAU